GAAAGCCCUCGGCUUAACCGAGGAAGUGCAUCGGAAACUGGGAAACUUGAGUGCAGAAGAGGACAGUGGAACUCCAUGUGUAGCGGUGAAAUGCGUAGAUAUAUGGAAGAACACCAGUGGCGAAGGCGGCUGUCUGGUCUGUAACUGACGCUGAGGCUCGAAAGCAUGGGUAGCGAACAGGAUUAGAUACCCUGGUAGUCCAUGCCGUAAACGAUGAAUGCUAGGUGUUGGAGGGUUUCCGCCCUUCAGUGCCGCAGCUAACGCAUUAAGCAUUCCGCCUGGGGAGUACGACCGCAAGGUUGAAACUCAAAGGAAUUGACGGGGGCCCGCACAAGCGGUGGAGCAUGUGGUUUAAUUCGAAGCAACGCGAAGAACCUUACCAGGUCUUGACAUCUUUUGAUCACCUGAGAGAUCAGGUUUCCCCUUCGGGGGCAAAAUGACAGGUGGUGCAUGGUUGUCGUCAGCUCGUGUCGUGAGAUGUUGGGUUAAGUCCCGCAACGAGCGCAACCCUUAUGACUAGUUGCCAGCAUUUAGUUGGGCACUCUAGUAAGACUGCCGGUGACAAACCGGAGGAAGGUGGGGAUGACGUCAAAUCAUCAUGCCCCUUAUGACCUGGGCUACACACGUGCUACAAUGGAUGGUACAACGAGUUGCGAGACCGCGAGGUCAAGCUAAUCUCUUAAAGCCAUUCUCAGUUCGGACUGUAGGCUGCAACUCGCCUACACGAAGUCGGAAUCGCUAGUAAUCGCGGAUCAGCACGCCGCGGUGAAUACGUUCCCGGGCCUUGUACACACCGCCCGUCACACCAUGAGAGUUUGUAACACCCGAAGCCGGUGGCGUAACCCUUUUAGGGAGCGAGCCGUCUAAGGUGGGACAAAUGAU
RNAcentral lists this ribosomal RNA (882 nucleotides) under Lacticaseibacillus rhamnosus. RNAcentral describes it as "bacterial SSU rRNA". It matches the Rfam family "Bacterial small subunit ribosomal RNA", at positions 596 to 1475 of the family's 1533-position model. The record is from RNAcentral. Lineage: Bacteria; Bacillati; Bacillota; Bacilli; Lactobacillales; Lactobacillaceae.